GACGAACGCUGGCGGCGCGCCUAACACAUGCAAGUCGAACGGAGCUGAGAGGAGCUUGCUUUUCUUAGCUUAGUGGCGAACGGGUGAGUAACGCGUGAGUAACCUGCCCUGGAGUGGGGGACAACAGUUGGAAACGACUGCUAAUACCGCAUAAGCCCACGGUGCCGCAUGGUACUGAGGGAAAAGGAUUUAUUCGCUCUAGGAUGGACUCGUGUCCAAUUAGUUAGUUGGUGAGGUAACGGCCCACCAAGGCGACGAUUGGUAGCCGGACUGAGAGGUUGAACGGCCACAUUGGGACUGAGACACGGCCCAGACUCCUACGGGAGGCAGCAGUGGGGGAUAUUGCACAAUGGGGGAAACCCUGAUGCAGCGACGCCGCGUGGAGGAAGAAGGUUUUCGGAUUGUAAACUCCUGUCGUUAGGGACGAUAAUGACGGUACCUAACAAGAAAGCACCGGCUAACUACGUGCCAGCCGCCGCGGUAA
Molecule: ribosomal RNA, 484 nt
Filed under: uncultured bacterium
Lineage: Bacteria
Description: partial 16S ribosomal RNA
Rfam family: Bacterial small subunit ribosomal RNA
Source: RNAcentral